Molecule: ribosomal RNA, 498 nt
Filed under: uncultured bacterium
Lineage: Bacteria
Description: bacterial SSU rRNA
Rfam family: Bacterial small subunit ribosomal RNA
Source: RNAcentral
AGCGAACGUUUGCGGCGGGCCUAACACAUGCAAGUCGAACGCACUAGCAAUAGUGAGUGGCGCACGGGUGCGUAACACGUGGGUAAUCAACCCUUCAGCUUGGGAUAACGACUUGAAAGGGUCGCUAAUACCGGAUACGGCGCGGGAGGCUUCGGCUUCUCACGAGAAAGCCUCGCAAGGGGCACUGAAGGACGAGCCUGCGGCCCAUCAGCUAGUUGGUGAGGUAAGAGCUCACCAAGGCGAAGACGGGUAGCUGGUCUGAGAGGAUGAUCAGCCACACUGGAACUGAGACACGGUCCAGACUCCUACGGGAGGCAGCAGUGGGGAAUAUUGCGCAAUGGGCGAAAGCCUGACGCAGCCACGCCGCGUGAGCGAUGAAGGCCUCGGUCGUAAGACUCUGUGGGGAGGAGGACGAAGAAAGACCGUCGAAGAGACGGGCCGUUGACGGUAGUCUCCUUAGUCAAGCACCGGCUAACUCCGUGCCAGCAGCCGCGGUAA